CAAAUAAAGUUUUGUAAAACACAGAAAAGAAGUAAGCGCAUGAGGGCUCUUUCCUCGGGGGUCUUGUCCGUUUUCCUUCGUCAAUGUGUUUUUACAACUUGCAUUAGUUAAUCAAAGCGUCUGUUCCCUCUGGACAUGACAGGGGGGGUCAGUCAUUGGCCAAGACUGAUGGGUCACGUCAUCUGCUUCAAUCGCGGAUCGAAUUUCCUCGCUGUGCUCCCAGCAGCCUAUGGCGGAUGAAGCGAUCUAUAGUUGUGUUGUGCGUAACAUGGUGCCAGAGAGAGGCCGACCAAGCGCUGUUAACCGCGGCAUCUUACAAAGCGUGCCCGAGACAUGGGGCAGCGGCAUAGAAAAGUUCCUGACUCAAGCUGAAGUGGUGAUUCAGGGGGGAGGGGUUCAUCCACCGGUGGAUAAGCUACAGAAUUUAAACCAACGAGCACAUCCUAAACUUUGCCGCGCAGCGAAUAGAACAAGGGUGCUGUUUUUUGCCCUGGACAUUCCCCUGUUCCUGCCUCUCUCCAGCAAGGAUUCCCCCCUUGGCUACUCCCUCUCCCCAUGACCCUUUGUUCGUUCCGACCGGUACUUUCAAAAAGCGCGAGCCUUCAGUCUCCCCUUAAUUCAGGACACCUGCUUGACCUAAGUUCCGGCAAAACUACAAGGCUGCCGUGUCCACAUCCCCGCCCGCGGUUUCUGCCACUCCGAAGCCACGAAAUGGACCAGCAGAGACUCCUUCGGUCAGUUUCACUCUGGAUUAGGGCCGCGUGGUUCGCACAUUCACGUGCACGAUUGGGUCUCUGUAUGGGCCGAUGGCUUAAUACAGAGCGGCGGGAGUAAUCGCGCUCACCAGAGGGGCGCCAGAUCAGUCGCAGAAUCAAAACUUUUUCCGCAAAUGAAAGUGCGGCGAAUCAUCACGGGAAAGCCCAUCUGUUACUGGCCUUGAAAAUGUCCAUCAUCCGGGAAGCCCCACCCACAUCUGACAGCAUUUCAUUGGAUGCGCCGUGCAAAUCUCUGCAACAGCGAGGAGGAGCUUUACGGAAAGAGGUCUCCUGGCAGCGCUCGGAUCGCGGAGUCCAUAAAUCAUUCGCUGGUUUUACGGCCAUUUCUGUUGUGGCAUUUAGAUGGAGUAACCUGCUGGCUGCAUGGUUAUGCCAAUAACUCUUUCCUGAGAUGAGACCUCACCGUGGGACGCCGCGAGGAGUGUUUCCAAGAGCAACUACGGCAGAACGCAAAAUUACACAAAACUCAUCAUGCAAAGCAAAAAACAUAAUUCAACGCAAGGCAUUUUCAAAUGAGUUUGAUUUACAACCAUGAAAACAUAUGAUUUUGUUACAUUUGAGUCUGGAGACCUCAUUUUAUCUGACCAGAAGCACAAACUUGUUGACUGCCCCCACAGCUCUCCCCCCUCCCAGAUUGAAUGGAGGAAAACAAGAAAAGAGAGGGAGGUGGGAACAGGAAGGGAUGCCAGAAACAGUUGACAGGGGAGGGUAAAUGUGCAUGACACUUCCUGUAUAAAAAAUGCUUACUGGGUAAAGGGGACAUCUAGAAAUGUCAUACUUGUAUCAUUCUUUACCUGUAUGCUUCUCCGGUGUCUCUCUGAGUUUUGAGUUAAUCCCUUAGCUCUUCCCGCUCCACACACAUCCCAGGCCUGCGGUCACAGUGGGUGGAAGGGGAUGGGGGGGUGGGGGGGUGGGGGGGUGGGGGGGUGAGGAGAGAAGACAGACAUCUGUCCAUAAACAGGAACAGUCCAGCAGCCUGUUCAUACAUGCAUAACUCAGGCAUGAGGCCUGCAAUGCAGCCUCGUAAAUAACUCCGCCCAUCACCCGAUAAUGUCUGCUUAAUGUUUGCUCUAUAAACCCCCCUCCCUCUCCCCUUCCCUCCUCCACCCCCCACCACCCACCC
This is a long non-coding RNA of Anguilla rostrata (American eel), 1899 nucleotides long. RefSeq lists it as uncharacterized. The record is from RefSeq and is a predicted model, not a curated record. Lineage: Eukaryota; Metazoa; Chordata; Actinopteri; Anguilliformes; Anguillidae. The transcript has 3 exons.